Molecule: small nucleolar RNA, 74 nt
Organism: Caenorhabditis elegans
Lineage: Eukaryota; Metazoa; Nematoda; Chromadorea; Rhabditida; Rhabditidae
Source: Ensembl
AAGCAAAUGACGAAAUCGCACCUCGGCCCGACUCCAACCCUGGGGGCGAAAUGAGCUUUUUAACUCAGAUGCUU